This 1408-nucleotide long non-coding RNA is filed under the name Marmota monax (woodchuck). Lineage: Eukaryota; Metazoa; Chordata; Mammalia; Rodentia; Sciuridae. The record is from RNAcentral.
CAAAUUUGUAAUGUGAGGAGUUGGGGGAGGAGGGCAGAACCUCCUCCUUUUCUAUUUUAUUAGCUUUUCCUGUGUCUGGAGACUUCCUGCAAGGACGGGCAGAAUGUUCCUUUUAGUUCAACUCAUGGGAGGUUUGCACCCGGGUACCUGCCACUGAUCAUUGUGCACCUUGUGCCCUUCCAAAAAAGAAGCACUGCCUUUCUUUGUUAAGCUCUCAGAGACCUUGUUGGGCAGCAGAGCCUGGGGCCCGCCUAAUCUGGGUCUCUCCAGCCCUCCUGUCUACACCCUGUGGGACCUGCUUCUCCUUCCUCUCUGAGUAGUAGAUGCUGAGCAGCAGAUCCUGUCCAGACCUGUGGGAAAGUGCACAGAGCCCCAGCCAUGCACCCUGGGCCUUUCCCACUCGCUGGGGAAAGAACUCCCAGCAGGAAGGCUUCAUUAGCCUGAAAGAACUUCACUUUAACUCUUUGGCUCCUCUAGCAGUCAGUCCUCAGGGUAAGUAUUCACAUUUCAAAGGCAGAAGUUCUUUCUUGAGCCUUCAUUGCUUGGCUCCCACAGUGAAUUUUUUCCUGUACUUCCUUUACCCACACAAGGGUUAAUCAUUCAGCAUUUCUGCCCUUAGAAAAUUCAGAGUUUUUAGUACAGGGAUCUGGCAUUAAUGGUUAGCACUUUGAAUAAUGCCAUUAAACAUCUUGUAUGCAAAUAGCAAAUUAGGAAGUGCAAAGGUCACAUUGUGUUCGAAUCUGAAUCCUUUAUAAAAUGUAAUUUGUUUAGGGUUUUCCAUUCUUCAAAGACUUCAUUUGUCAAAUUUUAUGGUAACUUACUAGUUAUGAAGAAAUGGCUACCAUCUUCCCAUUAGAAAAGGGCUCUUUCUCUCCUUACCCCCUGCCCUUUUCAUAAAUGCAGAAAAAUCACAAUAAUGACAUGCAAUUAUAGUAAACAUUUAGCAGUCUCCUGCUUUCCCAGGUUUAUCUUAUCAUCUGAACAUGUGGUGAGCCCAAAUAGGUUAAAUGUCUUUUCCCUAAGGUGCAAUAUUUCUACACUUUUUAAUGCAAUUUAAAUUUUAGUUUUAAAGUCUUACAGUGACAUUUGAACAUACUGAAAGUUAAACCUGUUAUGAACAUAAUUGCAAGAGUUAGCGGAAAUUGAACAAAUGAAAUAUAAAGACUUCCACUUCCUGUAUAUGAAUUUUUAGCCUUUUCCCAAACUUUCUCUAUUGUAAACUUAAAACAAAGUCUUAUCAGCGAGGAACAUAGAGUAGCAGCUGGAUAUCAUUAAAUCCCCCUGUCUAAGCGAUUCUUCUUCAUUACCUUUUCCCUGACAGCUCUUGCUCUGCACAGAAAAUGUAACUUUGUAGAGAUUUAUGUAAUUCAGGUGUCCUCCAUUUGAAGGAGGGCUUGGCUUAGAAGAA